GCCUGAUGAACCCUGGUGUAAGGACUGGUCAUUACCAGAGGGCAUAUUACCGUCUGGCCUUUCAGGUUCCUGAAUUUGAGAACUAUUGCCAUCCUGUGAUCCAACACCUCCACCAGACUGAGCUCCCUGGGGAGUAUGAUUUUCACCAGCUGAUGAUCCCCCACUCUGGCCAGUCAUUCUAGCAUUCCCAUCAGCAAGGCCCAUAGGAGCAGCUGCAUUGGCACCAGAAACAUUUUGCUGCAUUCUU
This 247-nucleotide unclassified non-coding RNA is filed under the name Hevea brasiliensis (rubber tree). Lineage: Eukaryota; Viridiplantae; Streptophyta; Magnoliopsida; Malpighiales; Euphorbiaceae. The record is from RNAcentral.